RNAcentral lists this ribosomal RNA (1414 nucleotides) under uncultured Bordetella sp. RNAcentral's name for it is "partial 16S-23S ribosomal RNA intergenic spacer". It matches the Rfam family "Bacterial small subunit ribosomal RNA". Lineage: Bacteria; Pseudomonadati; Pseudomonadota; Betaproteobacteria; Burkholderiales; Alcaligenaceae. The record is from RNAcentral.
AGUCGAACGGCAGCACGGACUUCGGUCUGGUGGCGAAGAGUGGCGAACAGGUGAGUAAUGUCGGAACGUGCCUAGUAGCGGGGGAUAACUACGCGAAAGCGUAGCUAAUACCGCAUACGCCCUUCGGGGAAAGCAGGGGACGCCUGGGCCUCGCACUAUUAGAGCGGCCGAUAUCGGAUUAGCUAGUUGGUGAGGUAACGGCUCACCAAGGCGACGAUCCGCUGGUUUGAGGACAUUGGCCACACUGGGACUGAGACGGCCAGACUCCUACAGGGAGGCAGCGGUGGGAAUUUUGGACAAUGGAAACCUGAUCAGCCUCGCGUGUGCGAUGAAGGCCUUCCCGGGUUACGUAAAACGCACUGGCGGGAAAGAAACGGCGCGGGAUAUGCCCCGUGCAACUGGCGGUACCUGCAGGGAAGCAAAGCACCGGCUAACUACGUGCCAGCAGCCGCGGUAAUACGUAGGGUGCAAGCGUUAAUCAGAUUACUGGGCGUAAAGCGUGCGCAGGCGGUUCGGAAGAAAGAUGUGAAAUCCCAGGCUUAACCUGGAACUGCAUUUUAACUACCGAGCUAGAGUGUGUCAGAGAGGGAGUGGAAUUCGCGUGUAGCAGUGAAAUGCAGCAGAUAUGCGGAGGAACACCGAUGGCGACAUGCCUCCUGGGAUAACACUGACGCUCAUGCACGAAAGCGUGAGGGAGCAAACAGGAUUAGAUACCCUGGUAGUCCACGCCUAAACGAUCAACUAGCUGUUGGGGCCUUCCGGGCCUUGGUAGCGCAGCUAACGUGAAGUUGACCGCCUGGGAAGUACGGUCGCAAGAUUAAAACUCAAAGGAAUUGACGGGGUUACACAAGCGGUGGAUGAUGUGGAUUAAUUCGAUGCAACGCGAAAACCUUACCUACCCUUGACAUGUCUGGAAUCACGAAGAUUUGGGAGUGCUCGCAAAGUGGAACACAGGUGCUGCAUGGCUGUCGUCAGCUCGUGUCGUGAGAUGUUGGGUUAAGUCCCGCAACUGGCUUCAACCCUUGUCAUUAGUUGCUACGAAAGGGCACUCUAGUAGACUGCCGGUGACAAACCGGAGGAAGGUGGGGAUGACGUCAAGUCCUCAUGGCCCUUGCUGGGUAGGGCUUCACACGUCAUACAAUGAAUCGGGACAGAGGGUCGCCAACCCGCGAGGGUAAUCCCGAGGAAACCCGAUCGUAGUCCGGAUCGCAGUCUGCAACUCGACUGCGUGAAGUCAGAAUCGCGCUAGUAAUCGCGGAUCAGCAUGUCGCGGUGAAUACGGGCUCCCGGGUCUUGUACACACACGCCCGUCACCAUGGGAGUGGGUUUUACCAGAAGUAGUUAGCCUAGCCGUAAGGAGGACGAUUACCACGGUAGGAUUCAUGACUGGGAGGUGAAGUCGUAACUAAGGUAG